This is a long non-coding RNA of Oncorhynchus kisutch (coho salmon), 1559 nucleotides long. RefSeq lists it as uncharacterized. The transcript has 5 exons. The record is from RefSeq and is a predicted model, not a curated record. NCBI's taxonomy places the organism in Eukaryota, Metazoa, Chordata, Actinopteri, Salmoniformes, Salmonidae.
AUUGUGAAACGUCACCCAAGAGGCUAAGGAGACCAUCUCAACCACCACCACCCAUUCCUGAAUUCUGACCAACGGGAACACACACAGGACAACUGACACACACCACAGACACACAACAUGCAUGUGCUGCUUUCCAAGCUCCGAGGUUUCUCCUGGCACUGCUGAGAGGACGGCCUGCUCUUAUGAUGCCUUAUUUAUCCUUCCUUCAUCUUUCCGCUGAGCUAAAGACUAUCGUCCACCUGAUAGAGAAGGACCCAAGGAUAUGCUACACAGGUGACCAGGCUCUUCAGCAGUCCUGGAUUGCUGGAGACACAGCCCUGGAUAAGAACAUCCGUGAAUCUGUCAGCGCCAAGUGACAGCAAGCAUUUAAUGCCACAGCUGUGGUCCGUUACGAGGCUUCUCCAGGUGGCUCCCAGCCAGACCACCCUGCCCAGCCCCUGUAGAAGUCACCUUCUGCUGGCUGAGGCUAAAGAAUACACAGGUCAAUGGUGGGGAGGAGGGAAGAGGGAAUCGAUGAUGCCAACAGAGAAGGUCACUUGCACUAGAUUGGGGAGAGUGAAGGAUGAGGAGAUGAAAGGAAAGGAGAGGAAGGCUGAAUGAGCGGUGUCAUACGUACCCAGGGUGGCAGGUAUCCUAGCGGUUAAGAGCAUUGGGUCAGUCAGCGGUUGAGAGCAUUGGUAAUUGAAAGGUCGCUGGUUCGAAUCCCUGAGCCAUCAAGAUGGAAAAAUCUGCCAUUCUACCUUUGAGAAAGGCAGUUAACCCCCAACAACUGCUCCCUGGGUGCCGAUGACGUCGAUUAGUGCAUCCAUCAGCACCUCUCUGAUUCAGGGGGAGUGAGUUAAAUGCGGAAGACACAUUUCCAUUGAAUGCAUUCAGUGCAACUGACUAGGUAGCCCCUAAUACUGGGUGAUAUUAUUUUGGGACAGAGCUUGGACAGUGUUUUUUUAACUUAUACUUUUUUUAAUGUACGUCUGCCAUUUUCAUCUCUGUAUUUCUGUACAUGUUUUUUAUUGUCAUUAUCCUUCCCCCUUGACAACAUAGAAAGGACUGAUUCACAUACGUAACCUGCAUGAUCAGAGGACAGGUAGACAGGUCCUCAUACGUAUGUGGUACCACCCAUUGUGGAAUAAUUUCUGCACAACAGAUAGUGUAACUAAUACCUCACGAGAGAUGGACUUACAUGUAGGGCCGUUCCUCGUUGUGUCACACCCUGAUCUGUUUCACCGGUCUUUGUGAUUGUCUCCACCCCCCUCCAGGUGUCACCUAUCUUCCCCACUAUCCCCUGUGUAUUUCUACCUGUGUUCUCUGUUUGUCUGUUGCCAGUUCGUCUUGUUUGUUCAAGCCAACCAGUAUUUUGUGUCUCAGCUCCUGCCUUUUCCAGUUUCUCGCCUUCUUGGUUUUGACCCUUGCCUGUCCUGUCUCCGAGCCCACCUGCCUGAGCACUCUGCCUGCCCCUGACCGUGAGCCUGCCUGCCAUCCGGUAUUGUUUCCCCACCUCUGGCUGCCUUAACCUGUCUAUUGCCUGCCCCUGUUGAGAUAUUAAACUAUUGUUUAUUUGA